UGGGGGAUAUUGCACAAUGGGGGAAACCCUGAUGCAGCGACGCCGCGUGAGGGAAGAAGGUUUUCGGAUUGUAAACCUCUGUCUUCGGUGACGAAAAUGACGGUAGCCGAGGAGGAAGCCACGGCUAACUACGUGCCAGCAGCCGCGGUAAUACGUAGGUGGCAAGCGUUGUCCGGAAUUACUGGGUGUAAAGGGAGCGUAGGCGGGAGAGCAAGUUGAAUGUGAAAACUAUGGGCUCAACUCAUAGUUGCGUUCAAAACUGCUUUUCUUGAGUGGAGUAGAGGUAAGCGGAAUUCCUAGUGUAGCGGUGAAAUGCGUAAAUAUUAGGAGGAACACCAGUGGCGAAGGCGGCUUACUGGGCUUUAACUGACGCUGAGGCUCGAAAGCGUGGGUAGCAAACAGGAUUAGAUACCC
Molecule: ribosomal RNA, 414 nt
Filed under: uncultured bacterium
Lineage: Bacteria
Description: bacterial SSU rRNA
Rfam family: Bacterial small subunit ribosomal RNA
Source: RNAcentral